This 489-nucleotide ribosomal RNA is filed under the name uncultured bacterium. Its description in RNAcentral is "partial 16S ribosomal RNA". It matches the Rfam family "Bacterial small subunit ribosomal RNA", at positions 28 to 507 of the family's 1533-position model. The record is from RNAcentral.
GACGAACGCUGGCGGCGUGCUUAACACAUGCAAGUCGAACGGUGAAGGGACCAGCUUGCUGGUUCUGGAUGAGUGGCGAACGGGUGAGUAACACGUGAGUAACCUGCCCCCUUCUUCUGGAUAACCGCAUGAAAGUGUGGCUAAUACGGGAUAUUCUGGGUCUGUCGCAUGGCGGGCCCGGGAAAGAUAUUGCUUCGGUGGGUGAUGGGCUCGCGGCCUAUCAGCUUGUUGGUGGGGUGAUGGCCUACCAAGGCGGUGACGGGUAGCCGGCCUGAGAGGGUGGACGGUCACACUGGGACUGAGACACGGCCCAGACUCCUACGGGAGGCAGCAGUGGGGAAUAUUGCACAAUGGGCGCAAGCCUGAUGCAGCGACGCCGCGUGAGGGAUGGAGGCCUUCGGGUUGUAAACCUCUUUCGCCAGUGAAGCAGGCCUGCUCCUUGUGGGUGGGUUGACGGUAGCUGGAGAAGAAGCGCCGGCUAACUACGUG